AAACCAACAGGGAUUGCCUCAGUAACGGCGAGUGAAGCGGCAAAAGCUCAAAUUUGAAAUCCCCCCGGGGAGUUGUAAUUUGAAGAUUGCGUCUUGGAGGCGACCGUGUCUAUGUUCCUUGGAACAGGACGUCACAGAGGGUGAGAAUCCCGUGCGGCACGGCCCCCGGCUCCUUAUAAGGCGCUCUCGACGAGUCGAGUUGUUUGGGAAUGCAGCUCAAAGUGGGUGGUAAAUUCCAUCUAAAGCUAAAUACAGGCGAGAGACCGAUAGCGAACAAGUACAGUGAUGGAAAGAUGAAAAGCACUUUGAAAAGAGAGUGAAACAGCACGUGAAAUUGUUGAAAGGGAAGGGCAUGCCGUCAGAUUGUCAGUGUGGGUAAGAAGCGGGGUACAAAGACUGUGGAACGUGGCCCUCGGGUGUUAUAGCCGCAGUUCAUGCC
Molecule: ribosomal RNA, 439 nt
Filed under: Kodamaea ohmeri
Lineage: Eukaryota; Fungi; Ascomycota; Pichiomycetes; Serinales; Debaryomycetaceae
Description: eukaryotic LSU rRNA
Rfam family: Eukaryotic large subunit ribosomal RNA
Source: RNAcentral